CCUACGGGAGGCAGCAGUGGGGAAUAUUGGACAAUGGGGGCAACCCUGAUCCAGCCAUGCCGCGUGUGUGAAGAAGGCCCUCGGGUUGUAAAGCACUUUCAGUGAGGAAGAACGCCUGGUGGUUAAUACCCAUCAGGAAAGACAUCACUCACAGAAGAAGCACCGGCUAACUCCGUGCCAGCAGCCGCGGUAAUACGGAGGGUGCGAGCGUUAAUCGGAAUUACUGGGCGUAAAGCGCGCGUAGGUGGCUUGAUAAGCCGGUUGUGAAAGCCCCGGGCUCAACCUGGGAACGGCAUCCGGAACUGUCAAGCUAGAGUGCAGGAGAGGAAGGUAGAAUUCCCGGUGUAGCGGUGAAAUGCGUAGAGAUCGGGAGGAAUACCAGUGGCGAAGGCGGCCUUCUGGACUGACACUGACACUGAGGUGCGAAAGCGUGGGUAGCAAACAGGAUUAGAUACCCUUGUAGUC
Molecule: ribosomal RNA, 465 nt
Filed under: Vreelandella stevensii
Lineage: Bacteria; Pseudomonadati; Pseudomonadota; Gammaproteobacteria; Oceanospirillales; Halomonadaceae
Description: partial 16S ribosomal RNA
Rfam family: Bacterial small subunit ribosomal RNA
Source: RNAcentral